UNUGACUUGAGUGCAGAAGGGGAGAGUGGAAUUCCAUGUGUAGCGGUGAAAUGCGUAGAUAUAUGGAGGAACACCAGUGGCGAAAGCGGCUCUCUGGUCUGUCACUGACGCUGAGGCUCGAAAGCGUGGGUAGCGAACAGGAUUAGAUACCCUGGUAGUNCACGCCGUAAACGAUGAGUGCUAGGUGUUAGGCCCUUUCCGGGGCUUAGUGCCGGAGCUAACGCGAUAAGCACUCCGCCUGGGGAGUACGACCGCAAGGUUGAAACUCAAAGGAAUUGACGGGGGCCCGCACAAGCGGUGGAGCAUGUGGUUUAAUUCGGAGCAACGCGAAGAACCUUACCAGGUCUUGACAUCCCGAUGCUAUUCUUAGAGAUAGGAAGUUACUUCGGUACAUCGGAGACAGGUGGUGCAUGGUUGUCGUCAGCUCGUGUCGUGAGAUGUUGGGUUAAGUCUCGCAGCGAGCGCAGCCCUUAUUGUUAGUUGCCAUCAUUAAGUUGGGCACUCUAGCGAGACUGCCGGUAAUAAACCGGAGGAAGGUGGGGAUGACGUCAAAUCAUCAUGCCCCUUAUGACCUGGGCUACACACGUGCUACAAUGGUCGGUACAACGAGUUGCGAGCCGGUGACGGCAAGCUAAUCUCUGAAAGCCGAUCUCAGUUCGGAUUGGAGGCUGCAACUCGCCUCCAUGAAGUCGGAAUCGCUAGUAAUCGCGGAUCAGCACGCCGCGGUGAAUACGUUCCCGGGCCUUGUACACACCGCCCGUCACACCACGAGAGUUUGUAACACCCGAAGUCGGUGAGGUANCCUUUUAGGGGCCA
Molecule: ribosomal RNA, 816 nt
Filed under: uncultured bacterium
Lineage: Bacteria
Description: bacterial SSU rRNA
Rfam family: Bacterial small subunit ribosomal RNA
Source: RNAcentral